GAUGAAGAACGUAGUGAAAUGCGAUAAGUAAUGUGAAUUGCAGAAUUCAGUGAAUCAUCGAAUCUUUGAACGCACAUUGCGCCCGCCAGUAUUCUGGCGGGCAUGCCUGUCCGAGCGUCAUUUCAACCCUCGAACCCCUCCGGGGGGUCGGCGUUGGGGAUCGGCCCUGCCUCUGGCGGUGGCCGUCUCCGAAAUACAGUGGCGGUCUCGCCGCAGCCUCUCCUGCGCAGUAGUUUGCACACUCGCAUCGGGAGCGCGGCGCGUCCACAGCCGUUAAACACCCAACUUCUGAAAUGUUGACCUCGGAUCAGGUAGGAAUACCCGCUGAACUUAAGCAUAUCAAUAAGCGGAGG
This 353-nucleotide unclassified non-coding RNA is filed under the name soil metagenome. RNAcentral describes it as "partial contains 5.8S ribosomal RNA, internal transcribed spacer 2, and large subunit ribosomal RNA". The stretch from base 1 to 120 matches the Rfam family "5.8S ribosomal RNA", at positions 35 to 154 of the family's 154-position model. The record is from RNAcentral.